This 402-nucleotide unclassified non-coding RNA is filed under the name soil metagenome. RNAcentral describes it as "partial contains 5.8S ribosomal RNA, internal transcribed spacer 2, and large subunit ribosomal RNA". The stretch from base 1 to 121 matches the Rfam family "5.8S ribosomal RNA", at positions 35 to 154 of the family's 154-position model. The record is from RNAcentral.
GAUGAAGAACGCAGCGAAAUGCGAUAAGUAAUGUGAAUUGCAGAAUUCAGUGAAUCAUCGAAUCUUUGAACGCACCUUGCGCCCUUUGGCUAUUCCGAAGGGCAUGCCUGUUUGAGUAUCAUGAACACCUCAACUCUCAUGGUUUGCCAUGAUGAGCUUGGACUCUGGGGGUCUUGCUGGCCUAUGGUCAGCUCCUCUCAAAUAAAUCAGCUUGCCAGUGUUUGGUGGCAUCACAGGUGUGAUAACUAUCUACGCUUGUGGUUUUCCAUCAGGUAACCUUCAGUGAUGGAGGUUCGCUGGAGCUCAUAAAUGUCCCUCCUCAGCGAGGACAGCUUUUUGAACGUUUGAUCUCAAAUCAGGUAGGACUACCCGCUGAACUUAAGCAUAUCAAUAAGCGGAGGA